RNAcentral lists this long non-coding RNA (127 nucleotides) under Phasianus colchicus (ring-necked pheasant). RNAcentral describes it as "lncRNA (ENSPCLG00000016167.1)". The record is from RNAcentral. Lineage: Eukaryota; Metazoa; Chordata; Aves; Galliformes; Phasianidae.
CAGAGAAUGUCACCUGGCACACACUGACCCAGGCAGGGGAUGUAACCAGCUCUGUUUUGGCCAAAAGGGAACAGGUAUCCUUCUAAAUAUACACACACUCCACGUUAUUUUCAUGUGCAUUCCCUGA